RNA transcript from Harpegnathos saltator (Jerdon's jumping ant), 1667 nucleotides. It is a transcript of the gene named putative nuclease HARBI1, with no coding region annotated. The transcript has 5 exons. NCBI's taxonomy places the organism in Eukaryota, Metazoa, Arthropoda, Insecta, Hymenoptera, Formicidae. The record is from RefSeq and is a predicted model, not a curated record.
CUCCCCUCCCAGAUUCCUGCUCCCGAGAUCCGGGAGAGGGACUGGGAAGAGGGCCUGGAGGUCUCUCCAGAGGAGCUCACCAUGGUCAGGAAGAAACUUGGGGGCAAGGGCAAAGCAAACCUGUAGGCCUAUUCUGUAACUUCCUAACGACAAUGUCACUAGCAAGAUUUGUCGUUACGCAAAGUUAGCAACAGUAUAAUGGAAAUGAGUAUUUUGUAACUCAGUGUAACGAAAAAUGUCGUCAAAAUUGUCGACAAAAUGUCGAAUUAUAUCGCUAAGUUAUCAAGGGGUAUGAGACCCCUCGAUAAACGUUGUCGACUGGUAACGAGAAGAGCUAUGCUAGUAAAGUAUAGUGGUUUUACAUGAGUUUAGACUCCUGUCCCUCGGGAAAAUGAAAGGAAGAAAAGUAAAACUUGUCAUUUGCAAAUAAAUAGAAUUUAUCAACAAUUUUUUACACUGCCAAAAAAGAUAUAUUACAUAUACCAUAUAAUAUGACUGAAGGAUAUUUAGCAUGGGAAUUGCUUGUCCUGCAGGAACGAGUGAGACGAAUUGAAAGACGAAUGGAGAGACGAUUAUUGCGAGAUGAUCAAAAUCGAUUCACACUUCCUCACGAUGAAUUUCUGGCACAUUUUAGAGUUAGUCAACAACUGCUUAUGGAUGAUGUAAAAGUUUUGAGACCACACUUACAGAAGCAACGCAUUACCGGCUUAUCUCCAGAACUGCAAGUUUUAGUUGCAGUUAACUUUUACGCAAAUGGCAGCUAUCAAAAACCUGUUGGAAACCAGUGUGAGCUACUUAUUAGCCAACCGCCUACUAACCGUUGUAUACGCACAGCAACGUACUUAAUAAAUCAACAUCUAAGGUUUGUUCGCGUCGCAUGCUCCAAUGUACACCAGGGAGCAUUUGGAUCACGGAUAAGAUGGUGGUUGGAGCAGAUGAGUUCAUGUGCACCAAUGCUCAGUGAUACGAACGGAUUGGAGCAGUUUCUCCUCUUUUAAGAUGCAUGCAAACAUGCAAAUUAAACUCGCAGCAUGGAUCCAUUGGAAGAUUUUCUCAUUGGCUUUAAUAUAUUAAUUAUGAAUGAAAUUAAUGAAAAUCUUUUACCUUUAGCUGUAAUCCGUGAUUUAUUUGUGAAAGACAAUGGGAACGACGAUGAAAUAGAGAAAGCAUGGUGGACAGAUUUAGUUAUUGGGCACAUUUUAGAAAUCUAGGAGGACAUGGAGGAUUUGAAGUAGUUUCGGCUGAAAAACACAUUCUUACUUUUCUAUAGUUUGCUGGGCAUCAAAGUACAAGUUUCAGGGAUGUUGAUGAUAGAUUUAAUUUGUCUCUUAGUGCCUUUGAAUCAGUGUUACAAAGAGUCACACAGUUUUUAUAUGAUUUAAGAAAUGAAUUUAUUCGGUAUGAACCCACUGAGGCAGAAAAGCAGAGAGCGCAGAGAUACUAUGUAGAAAAUAAAAAUUUUCCAGGAAUAAUUGGUUCUAUUGAUGGUUCACACAUCCGUAUAGACAAACCUUCUGAAGACCCAGUAGCCUAUAUCAAUAGAAAACAUUAUUUUUCCAUUCACAUGCAGGGAACAGUUAAUGAGCAGAACAAGUUCUUAGAUGUGUUAAUUGGAUAUCCUGGCUCAGUGCAUGAUGCAAGAGUAUUUGCAAAUUCUAGUCUGGCUG